This 253-nucleotide ribosomal RNA is filed under the name uncultured bacterium. RNAcentral describes it as "partial 16S ribosomal RNA". It matches the Rfam family "Bacterial small subunit ribosomal RNA", at positions 524 to 776 of the family's 1533-position model. The record is from RNAcentral.
UACGUAGGGGGCUAGCGUUGUCCGGAAUCAUUGGGCGUAAAGCGCGUGUAGGCGGUUCGGUAAGUCCGCUGUGAAAGUCGGGGGCUCAACCCUCGGAUGCCGGUGGAUACUGUCGGGCUAGAGUCCGGAAGAGGCGAGUGGAAUUCCUGGUGUAGCGGUGGAAUGCGCAGAUAUCAGGAGGAACACCGAUAGCGAAGGCAGCUCGCUGGGACGGUACUGACGCUGAGGUGCGAAAGCGUGGGGAGCGAACAGG